RNAcentral lists this ribosomal RNA (253 nucleotides) under uncultured bacterium. RNAcentral describes it as "partial 16S ribosomal RNA". It matches the Rfam family "Bacterial small subunit ribosomal RNA", at positions 524 to 776 of the family's 1533-position model. The record is from RNAcentral.
UACGAAGGGUGCAAGCGUUGUUCGGAAUCACUGGGCGUAAAGAAUGCGUAGGCGGCUUAACAAGUCGAGAGUGAAAUCCCAGGGCUCAACCCUGGAACUGCUUUCGAAACUGUUUUGCUAGAGUCCCGGAGGGGUUAGCGGAAUUCCGAGUGUAGAGGUGAAAUUCGCAGAUAUUCGGAGGAACACCAGUGGCGAAGGCGGCUAACUGGACGGGAACUGACGCUGAGGCAUGAAAGUGUGGGGAUCAAACAGG